GCUGAGACUCUGCAACAUGGACCUGAUGAGGUCCACCGCAUUAAGCAAAUCCGGCCAGCAGGCUUGAGCUACCUGUUGAGGUUGCAGGGUCUGCUACACACAAUUCGAAUGGAGAAUGUUGGUGGAAACAAUGAUGACGUUGGCCUGGAAGCAGUAAAAGAUGGAUAGGCAGUGUUAUCUCAGGGUCAGCCAAGCACGACAGCACCGGUGAUGACGAACGCGACCAUGACUUUGUAUUAUUUGUGGAACCUAAUGUUGUGUAACAGUUUGAUUGAGUUAAACUUUAAAUAGACUGUUGUUAACUGUUUUGUUGGUA
This is a long non-coding RNA of Magnolia sinica, 316 nucleotides long. RefSeq lists it as uncharacterized. Lineage: Eukaryota; Viridiplantae; Streptophyta; Magnoliopsida; Magnoliales; Magnoliaceae. The transcript has 2 exons. The record is from RefSeq and is a predicted model, not a curated record.